GAUGAACGCUAGCGAUAGGCUUAACACAUGCAAGUCGAGGGGCAGCAUGGUCUUAGCUUGCUAAGACUGAUGGCGACCGGCGCACGGGUGCGUAACGCGUAUGCAACUUGCCUCACAGAGGGGGAUAACCCGUCGAAAGACGGACUAAUACCGCGUACACUCCAUCUUGGGCAUCCAGGGUAGAGGAAAUGAAUUUCGCUGUGAGAUAGGCAUGCGUCCCAUUAGCUAGUUGGUGAGGUAACGGCUCACCAAGGCAACGAUGGGUAGGGGAACUGAGAGGUUGAACCCCCACACUGGUACUGAGACACGGACCAGACUCCUACGGGAGGCAGCAGUGAGGAAUAUUGGUCAAUGGGCGAGAGCCUGAACCAGCCAAGUCGCGUGAAGGAUGACUGUCUUAUGGAUUGUAAACUUCUUUUGUAGGGGAAUAAAGAACGGUACGUGUACCGUAGUGAAUGUACCCUACGAAUACGCUU
This 476-nucleotide ribosomal RNA is filed under the name Porphyromonas catoniae. RNAcentral describes it as "bacterial SSU rRNA". It matches the Rfam family "Bacterial small subunit ribosomal RNA", at positions 28 to 493 of the family's 1533-position model. Lineage: Bacteria; Pseudomonadati; Bacteroidota; Bacteroidia; Bacteroidales; Porphyromonadaceae. The record is from RNAcentral.